GCGACCCCAGGUCAGGCGGGACCACCCGCUGAGUUUAAGCAUAUCAAUAAGCG
Molecule: ribosomal RNA, 53 nt
Filed under: Mallotus thorelii
Lineage: Eukaryota; Viridiplantae; Streptophyta; Magnoliopsida; Malpighiales; Euphorbiaceae
Description: partial 28S ribosomal RNA
Source: RNAcentral